Molecule: long non-coding RNA, 540 nt
Organism: Apodemus sylvaticus (European woodmouse)
Lineage: Eukaryota; Metazoa; Chordata; Mammalia; Rodentia; Muridae
Exons: 3
Source: RefSeq, a predicted model, not a curated record
GGACUGGAUCUGGUGAUUGGUGACAUUUAUGUGGCUUUCACAGUAGGAUGGCUCUGAGUGCGAGGUCCUCUGCUGGCUUUUCUAUAGCCAGAGCGUCCAGGCUAGGAGCACAGCACGACCUUCAUCCCUGGACUGCAAUGAACCCAAGGAAGCUAUGGAGAAAGCUGGGGCAGGGUCAGGCUCCGCCCCAGAUACAGGGCUGUAGCAGUGGCCAGGAAGAAAACUGCCCCCACUGGAGGUUGUUUUUGUGAUUGUUCUUUGGAGCAUUGUUCUAAAAAUGGAAAAUUACAUCUUGCCAUGCCAAAGGAAACAAACACCUGCAGUUGAAGGGACACCUUCUUUGAGGUGGCUUUUUGGAGCAAGCACAUUGUAGCUACGGCCAUUUCUGGAUAGAGGCUGUGGCAGAAGUUUGACGGGAGAUUUCUUUUUGCUUGCAAGGGAUGGGAUGUGGGUUUAUUUUUGUAACUAGGGUGGGCUUUGGCAGCUAUGGGUAUAGGUGACUAUCUACUUAUCCACCCAAUAAACAUUUAUCAAGCAUCA